AAGAGACAGCAGUCGCCACGGGAAUACGGAGGGUGCAAGCGUUAAUCGGAAUUACUGGGCGUAAAGCGCACGCAGGCGGUUUGUUAAGUCAGAUGUGAAAUCCCCGAGCUUAACUUGGGAACUGCAUUUGAAACUGGCAAGCUAGAGUCUUGUAGAGGGGGGUAGAAUUCCAGGUGUAGCGGUGAAAUGCGUAGAGAUCUGGAGGAAUACCGGUGGCGAAGGCGGCCAUCUGGGACAACACUGACGCUGAGGCACGAAAGCGUGGGGAGCAAACAGGAUUAGAUACCCGAGUAGUCCCUGUCUCUUAUAA
Molecule: ribosomal RNA, 310 nt
Filed under: uncultured bacterium
Lineage: Bacteria
Description: partial 16S ribosomal RNA
Rfam family: Bacterial small subunit ribosomal RNA
Source: RNAcentral